RNAcentral lists this ribosomal RNA (465 nucleotides) under Vreelandella stevensii. RNAcentral describes it as "partial 16S ribosomal RNA". It matches the Rfam family "Bacterial small subunit ribosomal RNA", at positions 338 to 795 of the family's 1533-position model. Lineage: Bacteria; Pseudomonadati; Pseudomonadota; Gammaproteobacteria; Oceanospirillales; Halomonadaceae. The record is from RNAcentral.
CCUACGGGGGGCUGCAGUGGGGAAUAUUGGACAAUGGGGGCAACCCUGAUCCAGCCAUGCCGCGUGUGUGAAGAAGGCCCUCGGGUUGUAAAGCACUUUCAGUGAGGAAGAACGCCUGGUGGUUAAUACCCAUCAGGAAAGACAUCACUCACAGAAGAAGCACCGGCUAACUCCGUGCCAGCAGCCGCGGUAAUACGGAGGGUGCGAGCGUUAAUCGGAAUUACUGGGCGUAAAGCGCGCGUAGGUGGCUUGAUAAGCCGGUUGUGAAAGCCCCGGGCUCAACCUGGGAACGGCAUCCGGAACUGUCAAGCUAGAGUGCAGGAGAGGAAGGUAGAAUUCCCGGUGUAGCGGUGAAAUGCGUAGAGAUCGGGAGGAAUACCAGUGGCGAAGGCGGCCUUCUGGACUGACACUGACACUGAGGUGUGAAAGCGUGGGUAGCAAACAGGAUUAGAUACCCUAGUAGUC